RNAcentral lists this transfer RNA (73 nucleotides) under Candidatus Nanopelagicales bacterium. RNAcentral's name for it is "tRNA-Met". It matches the Rfam family "tRNA". Rfam says of the family: Transfer RNA (tRNA) molecules are approximately 80 nucleotides in length. Their secondary structure includes four short double-helical elements and three loops (D, anti-codon, and T loops). Lineage: Bacteria; Bacillati; Actinomycetota; Actinomycetes; Candidatus Nanopelagicales. RNAcentral also lists the same sequence under 1 other name. The record is from RNAcentral.
AGCGGGGUAGCUCAGUUGGUAGAGCAAGCGGCUCAUAAUCGCUGUGUCGCCGGUUCAAAUCCGGUCCUCGCUA